RNAcentral lists this long non-coding RNA (442 nucleotides) under Homo sapiens (human). RNAcentral describes it as "non-protein coding LINC00623:51". The record is from RNAcentral. Lineage: Eukaryota; Metazoa; Chordata; Mammalia; Primates; Hominidae.
CUGCCCAGUCGCUGUUGGGCUGCUGCGGAGCUUCCGCUGCCAUCUUCGGAUCCUGUGUUCCGCCCGGGGCUCCACCAGGGCAGGGAUGGUGGUGAGGGUCGCUCGUGGGUCCCCUGGCAGGGAGCAGGGUCUGGCACUCACAAGGGCGCACGACUAGGACUUGUCGAAUGAAUCCCUUGUCGCCUUUAGCUUUUAGUCCUUUGAAGAGAGCAGAAUGGGGAAAUGGAGAGAGAACCUGAAAGAGCCCCAAACUCGAGGACCUAUUGCUCCCCAAGAAUAACAUCUUCCAGAACUAGACAGAAAACUAGGCGUCUGGGAACCCUGAAAUCCUUGGAGGAGUAGAUCAUCAUGACCCUCUGUGUUCCUUUUGGCAAAUGACUUGCUUCCAUUGUUUGUUUGUUCAAUUGUCUGUUUGUUAAAUAAAUAAAACCCUUUUUAUGUA